ACCCCAGUUCUUUCCUGAUAGCUUGCCUCC
RNAcentral lists this non-coding RNA (30 nucleotides) under Mus musculus (house mouse). Lineage: Eukaryota; Metazoa; Chordata; Mammalia; Rodentia; Muridae. The record is from RNAcentral.